UUGAACUGCUCACGUAAGAAGCUUCGGUGAAUCUUUUCACUUUCUAGUUGUUCCUUAGCUAGAAGGUCCUUACACUCCUUGAGAGUGGUCCUUAGCUCGAGGAUCUGGGCUUCAUAGUUUUCCCACGCUUCUUUCUUCAUAGCAUUAAACCUCUCGAUAGUUUUCUCAAGGUCCUUGAUGACUCAGAACACUUGAUCUAACUUGUCAUUGCAGAAGUCUAGCUCAAAAUUAGCUCCUUGUAGAGCUCCA
Molecule: long non-coding RNA, 249 nt
Filed under: Lathyrus oleraceus (garden pea)
Lineage: Eukaryota; Viridiplantae; Streptophyta; Magnoliopsida; Fabales; Fabaceae
Description: Pisum sativum (pea) long non-coding RNA (PSAT_LNC011799)
Source: RNAcentral